RNAcentral lists this ribosomal RNA (162 nucleotides) under Eremophila sturtii. RNAcentral describes it as "5.8S ribosomal RNA". The record is from RNAcentral. Lineage: Eukaryota; Viridiplantae; Streptophyta; Magnoliopsida; Lamiales; Scrophulariaceae.
UAACGACUCUCGGCAACGGAUAUCUCGGCUCUCGCAUCGAUGAAGAACGUMGCGAAAUGCGAUACUUGGUGUGAAUUGCAGAAUCCCGUGAACCAUCGAGUCUUUGAACGCAAGUUGCGCCCGAAGCCAUUMGGCCGMGGGCACGUCUGCCUGGGCGUCACG